AGUCGGACGGCAGCACAGGGAAGCUUGCUUCUCGGGUGGCGAGUGGCGAACGGGUGAGUAACAUAUCGGAACGUACCGGGUAGCGGGGGAUAACUGAUCGAAAGAUCAGCUAAUACCGCAUACGUCUUGAGAGGGAAAGCAGGGGACCUUCGGGCCUUGCGCUAUCCGAGCGGCCGAUAUCUGAUUAGCUGGUUGGCGGGGUAAAGGCCCACCAAGGCGACGAUCAGUAGCGGGUCUGAGAGGAUGAUCCGCCACACUGGGACUGAGACACGGCCCAGACUCCUACGGGAGGCAGCAGUGGGGAAUUUUGGACAAUGGGCGCAAGCCUGAUCCAGCCAUGCCGCGUGUCUGAAGAAGGCCUUCGGGUUGUAAAGGACUUUUGUCAGGGAAGAAAAGGCCGUUGCCAAUAUCGGCGGCCGAUGACGGUACCUGAAGAAUAAGCACCGGCUAA
Molecule: ribosomal RNA, 451 nt
Filed under: Neisseria gonorrhoeae
Lineage: Bacteria; Pseudomonadati; Pseudomonadota; Betaproteobacteria; Neisseriales; Neisseriaceae
Description: bacterial SSU rRNA
Rfam family: Bacterial small subunit ribosomal RNA
Source: RNAcentral